This 552-nucleotide ribosomal RNA is filed under the name Photobacterium sp. TKY3. RNAcentral describes it as "bacterial SSU rRNA". It matches the Rfam family "Bacterial small subunit ribosomal RNA", at positions 9 to 526 of the family's 1533-position model. Lineage: Bacteria; Pseudomonadati; Pseudomonadota; Gammaproteobacteria; Vibrionales; Vibrionaceae. The record is from RNAcentral.
GAGUUUGAUCCUGGCUCAGAUUGAACGCUGGCGGCAGGCCUAACACAUGCAAGUCGAGCGGCAGCGACAACAUUGACCCUUCGGGYGAUUUGUUGGGCGGCGAGCGGCGGACGGGUGAGUAAUGCCUGGGAACAUGCCUUAGUGUGGGGGAUAACCAUUGGAAACGAUGGCUAAUACCGCAUAAUCUCCUGUCUUUUACGAGRUGGGAGCAAAGAGGGGGACCUUCGGGCCUCUCGCGCUAAGAUUGGCCCAGGUGGGAUUAGCUAGUAGGUGGGGUAACGGCUCACCUAGGCGACGAUCCCUAGCUGGUCUGAGAGGAUGAUCAGCCACACUGGAACUGAGACACGGUCCAGACUCCUACGGGAGGCAGCAGUGGGGAAUAUUGCACAAUGGGGGAAACCCUGAUGCAGCCAUGCCGCGUGUGUGAAGAAGGCCUUCGGGUUGUAAAGCACUUUCAGUCGUGAGGAAGGCGGUAUCGUUAACAGCGGUAUCGUUUGACGUUAGCGACAGAAGAAGCACCGGCUAACUCCGUGCCAGCAGCCGCGGUAAUAC